Long non-coding RNA from Stegostoma tigrinum, 1982 nucleotides. RefSeq lists it as uncharacterized. The record is from RefSeq and is a predicted model, not a curated record. The transcript has 3 exons. NCBI's taxonomy places the organism in Eukaryota, Metazoa, Chordata, Chondrichthyes, Orectolobiformes, Stegostomatidae.
GGAGGUGGGGGGGGAGGGAAAUCCCUGUGGCCGGUCGAGCUUUCUGAAAUAUUAACAUUUUCAGGAGGCACGGAGUAUGGGCUAAUCUAUGCGCCGUACGUGCAGCAAUCUUUGUUUUUCCCCCCCCUUUUUAAAAACAAUUCUCCCCCUCACCAAGUUAUAACUUUAUUUAUGAGGGCAGUUGUGGUGGGCUGCUGGCUGCAAUUUUCACAAAGUGAUUGAAGUCUUUUCUCGUUUGGGGUAGGGAGCAUCAAUUUCACCACAACAUGGAAACUCCACGUGUUCGCCAGAACUCUGCAAAAUGCAUUCUGGUGAAGUGUGGGAUUACGUCUGAACAUCACCCAGUUCCAAAAAGAAAACUAUCCUCACCGGAAAGGAGAUUGCUGAAGGACAAAGUUUAAAGGAGAAACAUAGAGGAGCCGUUGCUCGGAUUUGAACGGGAAAAAAAACAAGAUGCUUUUUUCCCCUUGUUUUCUAAACGUGCAAAUAGACGGAAGGCUGCUGGAAGAUGGUGGCCCAAGACUGGGAGGAUUCUGCAAAAGCUGGAGGUGAAGGAAGGAGUGGGUUGAAGAAUCGUGAAAAUAAAUCGGACGUGCUGUGAAUUGAAUGUUGAUUUAAAACAAAAAGUAACCACUCGAGGUGAAAAUGUGACUGUGGUGAAAUGCGGUUAAAAUCCGGCAAAAAAGUGAGAAAAUGGAAGGAAGCCCAGACCUGACCACGGGAAUGAAAUGCGGGCAAAGGCUACAUAGAAGAUGGAGAACUUCUCUAACUGCCCUUAAACACGUACAAACCGCUAUUAAAUCCGGAGGUUGUUCACUGUUAGUUACACCGCGUUCACACGGUUUAAAACAAGAAUGGAGACUGUCUUGAAAAGCGGUGGCAAAUGCCCGAUAACAUUAAGAAGAAAACAAUGAAAAAGGUAAAUGCCAACGACAUACAUUGAAGCGUGACUCCAGUUGUAUUUUAUGAAACGUGUGCCUCUCAAUAUCUGCUGUAUUACAUGUCGGGGUAUCGCAACGCUUUGCAGAAGUCGCUGAGAGUAGGCUGCUCAUUCAAAUGUAACCUGAGCGAAAUUCGAUUAAAGACUCAACUUGUUCCUCAUACAGCCUAUCGGGAAAGCGUCUCCUAGAAUUGGUGAAGACAUAAUGCUAGUGCACCAGACCUGGUUUACCCAUGUUACACCCAUCUUAAUUUUAACGAUGGCAAAUUAUAAAGAUCACUGCGAACAAGUGAUGUAUUGAACCAAGGGCUUGAGUAAAUACGUUAGAGCAAUGGGGUGCCGCCUUUAAAUGAAGAGCCAGUUUUCUUGCAUAUAUUUACAUUGAAGACAGUAUUACUGGUGAAAAGAAAAUGAAUAAUCCGUCUAACAUGCCAGAGGUAUUUUGAUAUUCGACUGAACACCGGGGUUAUACAAGUGCUGGUCAAUACAACGGUGGCUGCGUAGUCCCUGCGCAGUUUCCCGCCGGGUGGAACGUGAUUAUUAAAGUAAUAUAUAAUGUGAUAUAAACUUUCGUUGAGGAAACAGUUGGAUGAAGUUGACUUUCAGAUCUUAUACGCUAUUACGUCCAGAUUGAUUGCUAUACAGUUCGCGAAAAGGGGCUGACACAACUUUAAAAAAAAGGGUGGUUUACUUCGUCAACAUUUGUGCAAGUAAAAAAAUCAUGACAACAACACAGACACACAGAGCGUGGAAGAGAAAAUAGAAAACAGAUGGUGAAUAGCGGAGCUGUGGAUGGGAUGAGUUGAUAAAUGAGUCCUAAUUUUAAGUGCUGGCCUCGAUCGAAUAACCAUAAGGAAAGCUACAAUACAGAAAGGUAACACCGUUUUAAUAAUGGAAAAUUGCACAUCCACAGCAAAUAACCAGAAUUAUAUCCAAUCUGACCUGUAAUGAACUUGUAGCAGGAAUGUAAUAUUUAACAGCGUGAAUCCUUUUAGAAACACAGGUUUAAAAUAAAGGCUUUACAAAGCCAAUAUCCCACUAA